This 889-nucleotide unclassified non-coding RNA is filed under the name Hevea brasiliensis (rubber tree). The record is from RNAcentral. Lineage: Eukaryota; Viridiplantae; Streptophyta; Magnoliopsida; Malpighiales; Euphorbiaceae.
AUUUAGGACCAAAGCAGUAAAAUACAUAUUAAAAUCUCAACUUCCGUCCAACUUCAUUUGGUCAAUUUAGAAUCUCCGAUCGCUUUCCGUUACAAUGCUCGGCGGCUUAUACGGCGAUCUCCCUCCGCCGUCGUCCUCCGGCGACGAUGACAAGCCAACCAACGCCACCACAGCUAAUGUGUGGUCCAGCAGUGCUAAGAUGGCUCCUUCAGCCCUUCGCAAACCCUUCGCCCCACCCCAAACACUUCUUCGACCUCAGCCGAAGCCCAAACCGCAGCCUUCAGCAGCUCCAAAACCUAAUCCAUCGAUCCCUCUUGACGAGAACACUAAUCCAAAUCCCACCUUUGCAACGACGUCGUUUCAACCAGCCCUGGUGGCUGUUACCAGCAGUGUAUUAGAAGAAUACGACCCGGCUCGGCCGAAUGAUUACGAAGAUUAUCGGAGGGAGAAGAAGAGGAAGCAAAUGGAGGCUGAGGUGCGGAGAGAGUUGGAAGAAAGAGAGAGAAAGGAGAGGGAGCGAGAGAGGGAGGAAAAGGAGAAGAGAGAAAAAGAGAGAGAAUUGAAUAUUUCAGGUGAGGAGGCAUGGAGGCGGAGGGCGGCAAUGAGUGGAGGUGGUGGAGGAGGAGGCAGUGCUCCCCCACGCUCGCCUUCGCCACCAUCAGGGAAUGAGUUUAGUAUUGGGAGGUCAGAGAGUGGGGGUUUGGGAUUGGGAGCGGAAGGAAAGAUGACAGCUGCACAAAGGAUGAUGGCUAAGAUGGGUUGGAAGGAGGGUCAGGGACUUGGAAAGCUGGAGCAGGGAAUUACGACUCCAUUGAUGGCUAAGAAGACUGAUAAGAGAGGUGGGGUUAUAGUGGCUAGUGAAGCAAAGCAGCAGCAGCAACAGCAGCAG